Molecule: non-coding RNA, 88 nt
Organism: Tirmania nivea
Lineage: Eukaryota; Fungi; Ascomycota; Pezizomycetes; Pezizales; Pezizaceae
Source: the annotation of a GenBank genome assembly
GGUUGUGUGGUGUAAUGGUAGCACGUAUCGUUGUGGAGUAGAUCUCAACGGUCCCGAUACAAUCGCGGUUCGAUUCCGUGCACAGCCA